RNAcentral lists this long non-coding RNA (2423 nucleotides) under Sus scrofa (pig). RNAcentral's name for it is "lncRNA (ENSSSCG00000057528.1)". The record is from RNAcentral. Lineage: Eukaryota; Metazoa; Chordata; Mammalia; Artiodactyla; Suidae.
AGCAUAUGGAGAUUCCCAGGCUAAGGACUGAAAUGGAGCUACAGCUGCCGGCCACAGCCACAGCCACACAGGAUCCAAGCCGUGUCUGCAACCUACACCACAGUUCACAGCAACAGCGGAUCCUUAACCCAAUGAGCGAGGCCAGGGAUAAAACCCCCAACCUCAUGGUUCCUAGUCAGAUUCGUUUCCACUGCUCCACACAGGAACUCCAAGACAUAAAUAUUUUAAAUUCCUGUCACUCAGAGGGUAAGAAAAAGAUUGCUCUAGGGGUAGAGCUGAGCCAGAUGAAAGCAAAUGCAGGGUGAAAUGGAGGAUGAGAAAAGGAAGAUUAAUUUUACAUUUUUUAAAAGAGAUACAACAACUAAAACUUGAAGCCAACAGGUCCUAUCCAUACAAAUAUUGAAUUUUCAAUAUCAAACGUAGUGAUUUGUGAUUAAACUGGUCAGAGUUUGUCAAAGAAUAUGACUAAUUACAAAACCAAGAGGUAUCUUUUCACACUGAAGCAAAGUACUGAUAGUUUAAACACAAUUUGCAAAACCACCUCGUUUUCUCUCACGCUGCUAUAAUAAGCAAUGUCUUCUCUCGGAAACUCAGUGGCUGGGCUGAAACAGGGCUUAAGGUUCAGACGUUAAAAGUCAAUUUUUAUAUCCAAUACCCUUGCUCAAACGCAGGAGGUGGUGAAGGAGACUUGAUUUCAACCCUCUGCACGUUUGGAACAAAGAGGGAUGAAACACAGUAACAUAGCUAUUUCAAGGAAUGCCUAUAAUUUCAUUGUUGUUAAAGCUGCCAGAUGUCUUAGCUCUAAGACAACACAGCUACUGAGUUAGAACCUGAAGAGAAAAAUGACAAAACCUAACUAUGAAAAAGCCCCCCAAAACAAAGAACAAGCACAAAAUAAAGAACCCCACAAACGCCUCCAUCACGCAUCGCCUUGUAUGGGAAAAUUCUGGGCUUGGUUAAUCCAACAGGCUAAGACAGGCAUUCCCAGAAAAGGGAACUGAGGAUAAUCAAAGAAUAGAAACGACUACAUCCUUUGUCAAAUUGCUCCUGUAGUUAAAUCUGGCGAUCCAGUUAACCUUAAAUAUCAACCUAUGGAUUAUUUUCCAUCCAAUAAAUACCUCAAGGAUAAUAACUGAGUUUCAAGUCUGACCUUCAGAUGGCAAAAUGAAUCAUACUCUGCUACUAAAAAGAAUGCAACAGCUGUCCCCAUAUACCCUGCAGAAAAACUUAAGUGGGAAAAACUCAAAAUAUCUUUCUUCAAAAAGUCUGAGAACAGUUAUGUGCAAAAUCUCAUGCUUUGGCAGCACCUUCCCAGAACACUUGCUAAAAUGACUCCGUGUGUUUCACAAAGCAUCCUCCUCACCCUGAGUUUCUCAGACGUCAGUUCUUUACUUGUUUGCAGGUAUGACUCUGUAUUAUAAGUUUCAGUUUUUAAUUAAAUCUAGAUUAUGAAUAUGAGCUGGCUGUAGCAGUGACAAGGGAAAUAAGCUAAAUAUUAAAAUAACAAGAAGGAAAUACGAAAUCACAUCUGCAGUUCAUUUUGGAAAUUGUUUAGCAGGGCAUGACUGACUUUGGGGGGCAGAGAGUGAUGCCAUCCCCCUAAGAAUCAUCCAUUUACUGGAAGACUCCUCUUUCAGACAAUAUUAAUUAACUCUAAGUAGACAAAAAUGUCUAAGCCAGCUAACAAUUCAAACACACAAACCAGAAGUAAUAACAACAACAUUUUGUACUUGUAAAAAUACUGAUCAAAAGAACAGGGCAACAUGAUAAAGGUUAAGCUUUUCCACUGUGAAGUAUAUAAAUAUUCCUCUAAUGUGUUAAAAUUCAACUUUCCUAAUCAAGUUGGACAUCAUAGGGACAUGUACAAAUGACACAGUAAUCAGCCUAAAGGGAUUCCACUAGCCAAAUCUGGAGCAAUUUUUUUUUGGGGGGGUGUCUUUUUAGGGCUGUACCUGUGGCAUAUGGAUGUUCCCAGGCUAGGGGUGCAAUCAGAGCUACAGCUGCUGGCCUACGACAGAACCACAGCAAUGUCAGAUCCAAGCCUCAUCUGAGACCUAUACCACAGCUCACAGCAAUACCAGAUCCUUAACCCACUGAGCGAGGCCAGGGAUCAAACCUACAAACUCAAGGACCCUAAUAUGGUUUGUUAGCCGCUGAGCCAUGACAGGAACUCCUGGGACAAUCAAUUUGAACACAAAAAUAAUGAGGGUGAAUAAAUACUGGUGGGGACUGGGGGGUACAGCACUUCCUUCUAGCAGAAUGUUGACUAUUACAGAGAAAUAAAUGUAAAGGAAUCACAGAGUUAGAAACCACUGCCAUUUGGCACCCGUCACAGUAAUAUCAGCAAUUAUCAAUGGAUGUUAAAACCUGUGGUUCAAGUUUGAUGAAAAAUAGUGUAUUUACACAGCUGCAAAGUCUCAUCU